GUGGAAUUUACUCUCCAAUUAAACUCCAUGGUUUAAAAUAUGUUCUUCAAUCUGUAAAUAUCCUUUCUCAGCUGCAAUAUAAAGCCGCUUCGUGAAUUGGAGUUGUUCCAUCUGGAGUCUCAGCAUUCACGUUAGCACCUCGGUCAAUAAGCAUGGUAACACCAUCUACAUGUCCGUAUUGAACAGCAAGAAACAGUGGUGUAAAAGCUGAAAAGAAAGAGAUCUGCAAUAUGAAGGUAUACCGUCUAUAUCACGGGCAUCAACGUUAGCUCCAUGAUUUAAAAGUAUUUCGGCAAUCUCUAUUUC
Long non-coding RNA from Pseudomyrmex gracilis, 306 nucleotides. RefSeq lists it as uncharacterized. The record is from RefSeq and is a predicted model, not a curated record. The transcript is spliced from 3 exons. NCBI's taxonomy places the organism in Eukaryota, Metazoa, Arthropoda, Insecta, Hymenoptera, Formicidae.